GUUAGAGAAGGUGAUAUAGAGGUAGUGUUAGAGAAGGUGAUAUAGAGGUAGUGUUAGAGAAGGGGAUAUAGAGGUAGUGUUAGAGAAGGGGAUAUAGAGGUAGUGUUAGAGAAGGUGAUAUAGAGGUAGUGUUAGAGAAGGGGAUAUAGAGGUAGUGUUAGAGAAGGGGAUAUAGAGGUAGUGUUAGAGAAGGUGAUAUAGAGGUAGUGUUAGAGAAGGUGAUAUAGAGGUAGUGUUAGAGAAGGGGAUAUAGAGGUAGUGUUAGAGAAGGGGAUAUAGAGGUAGUGUUAGAGAAGGGGAUAUAGAGUAGUGUUAGAGAAGGGGAUAUAGAGGUAGUGUUAGAGAAGAUGAUAUAGAGGUAGUGUUAGAGAAGGGGAUAUAGAGUAGUGUUAGAGAAGGGGAUAUAGAGGUAGCGGACGAGAGGAAUAAUCUCUGCAAUCUCGUGGGUGUUACUGAGAAAGCGUUUUGUGUUUCCGUGAAUGUUGCGACACGCUUGAAUGUUGCAAUUAGUGGGGAAACAUAGUCACUUUCUUAUUAAACAUUUCGUCACCCAGGUACACAUAUUUGACAAGGCUUUCGUGAGGGCUUUGAGCAUUUCCUUUAUCAAUUUAAUGACCCUAGUGGUAGUUCGACCUUUCUUCCGUGCCAUGAACCUAAAAAAGCACUCCUGAGAACCCGAUUGAUCUUCUUUUUGACCUUUGGAAAUAGUUGAUGUGAGAGGCGGAAGCGUCUUAAAAAACAGCAAUCAUAAACUCGUGAUUUUGUGAGGGUCAUCUUCAUCAACAGUAAUGCGGCUGAUUUGUCUUUUCUGACCCAUUUUCGAAGGCGUGGUGUGUUGGUUUUCUUGAUUUUUUGUAUAUCACUUUUUUUUUACGACUGAGUUUGUAAUGUGUCGACUUAAUUGUGAAAAUCCAACACUUCUUAUUAACUACGUUCCAAAAAUGUCAUAAAAAGUCAAACGAGCAACAUAACUUCAUAAAUACUGAUACGACGUUUGAAAAAUCUGAUGAAAGAGUCAGAGAUCCG
Eriocheir sinensis (Chinese mitten crab) is the source of this 1026-nucleotide long non-coding RNA. RefSeq lists it as uncharacterized. The transcript is spliced from 3 exons. The record is from RefSeq and is a predicted model, not a curated record. Lineage: Eukaryota; Metazoa; Arthropoda; Malacostraca; Decapoda; Varunidae.